GUAGUCAUAUGCUUGUCUCAAAGAUUAAGCCAUGCAUGUCUAAGUAUAAGCAAUUAUACAGCGAAACUGCGAAUGGCUCAUUAUAUAAGUUAUCGUUUAUUUGAUAGUACCUUACUACUUGGAUAACCGUGGUAAUUCUAGAGCUAAUACAUGCUAAAAAUCCCGACUUCGGAAGGGAUGUAUUUAUUAGAUUAAAAACCAAUGCCCUCCGGGGCUCACUGGUGAUUCAUGAUAACUUCUCGAAUCGCAUGGCCUUGCGCCGGCGAUGGUUCAUUCAAAUUUCUUCCCUAUCAACUUUCGAUGUUUGGGUAUUGGCCAAACAUGGUUGCAACGGGUAACGGGGAAU
Molecule: ribosomal RNA, 346 nt
Filed under: uncultured fungus
Lineage: Eukaryota; Fungi
Description: SSU rRNA
Rfam family: Eukaryotic small subunit ribosomal RNA
Source: RNAcentral